This 353-nucleotide transfer-messenger RNA is filed under the name Opitutales. RNAcentral's name for it is "Merdousia sp900760055 Standard tmRNA". It matches the Rfam family "transfer-messenger RNA". Rfam says of the family: Bacterial tmRNA, also known as 10Sa RNA or SsrA, is named for its dual tRNA and mRNA-like properties. The record is from RNAcentral. RNAcentral also lists the same sequence under 1 other name. Lineage: Bacteria; Pseudomonadati; Verrucomicrobiota; Opitutia.
GGGGGUGUUCCGGAAUUCGACUUAUGGUCGUAGCUCAUGCCUGCGUGUCGGAGAUGAUACUUGGCUCCGCAAAAAUGUAUCACAAAAAACAAUAAAUGGCGAAGAAUACGCUAUUGCUGCUUAAUUAACGCGGCACGUCAGCCCGCCCACUCCCAAUAAGCGGAAUCUGGCGUCGACAUUGGGAACAGGGAUUGCCGAUAUUUGUUCUGGUCGGCGGUCGCCAAAUUGAGAACAAUGCAUUCGAACCGGUAGUUGAAGCCAAAGUUCGGAUAAAGACAAAAAUUCAACUACACAUGUAGACGGUAUGGUCGAAAGCGAUAAGGACAGGGGUUCGACCCCCCUCACCUCCACCA